Myotis brandtii (Brandt's bat) is the source of this 828-nucleotide long non-coding RNA. RefSeq lists it as uncharacterized. NCBI's taxonomy places the organism in Eukaryota, Metazoa, Chordata, Mammalia, Chiroptera, Vespertilionidae. The transcript has 2 exons. The record is from RefSeq and is a predicted model, not a curated record.
GGAGCGUCCUUAACUUUCCUCUUUCAUUAGUUCUGCUGGUUUGGGGCUUUUGAGGUCUCGAGGAAGCCUCACGUGGCCUUGGGACAACCUUCGCCCUAGGGUGCCCCAGUCUGGGAAAGGCGGGUCCUUUCAGACCCUCUAGCGCCCAGUGGGCCGGGCUGGGAAAGUUCCCCAGCUGCACUUCUGGGAUCUGGCAACGUUACGCACCACUUUCUCUGCACUCGUCCGCAGUUUUGCAGCCCCAGGUUGGUUACAAACCAGUUCAGGCCAACUCCGCUAGCCUCCGUCUCCAGGGCCGGCCGCUCCUCUGCAGCAGCGGGAAGAGGCACCCGGAGCAAUGGGGAAAUGCAUGCCCCUGCCUACGCGCAGCUCGGAUUCUUGGCCAUUCCGGACUGGUCUUCACAGGUUCUGGAUCCCUCCGGGAUUAGCGCCCCUCCAGCCCAGGCUGUUUAACCCAAACCCAUCUGCUGCAGCUCGAGACUUUUAAUCGUUUGCUUUUCUCUUCAUUGGCUGGAGUCACCACUGGAGAGUGAUCCGGACAGGGCGGUGAAGUCCCCAUUUCGGUGCAGAGUCCUUUGCAAGUGACAUUGUGAAGUAGGCAAACACUAUGCCUUUGAGUGACAUUGUGAAGUUGGCGGAGGGUGCCCUAGGUGACAUUGUGAAGUAGGCAAAAGGUUACAGGAAAGGACUAAAGCCUGAAUGGUACCUGACAAUCUAUAUAUGUAAAAGGCUAAGUAACUGAUCAUACGUACAUCCAACCGUCCGACUGACCGACCAGCUGGUACGUAUGAUGUGCACCAGCAAUUUAAAAAUAAACGUUGACUCGUA